UACGGGAGGCAGCAGUGGGGAAUAUUGCACAAUGGGCGCAAGCCUGAUGCAGCCAUGCCGCGUGUAUGAAGAAGGCCUUCGGGUUGUAAAGUACUUUUCAGCGGGGAGGAAGGCGGUGGAGUUAAUAGCUUCACCGAUUGACGUUACCCGCAGAAGAAGCACCGGCUAACUCCGUGCCAGCAGCCGCGGUAAUACGGAGGGUGCAAGCGUUAAUCGGAAUUACUGGGCGUAAAGCGCACGCAGGCGGUCUGUCAAGUCGGAUGUGAAAUCCCCCGGGCUUAACCUGGGAACUGCAUUCGAAACUGGCAGGCUAGAGUCUUGUAGAGGGGGUAGAAUUCCAGGUGUAGCGGUGAAAUGCGUAGAGAUCUGGAGGAAUCCGGUGGCGAAGGCGGCCCCUGGGCAAAGCUGACGCUCAGGGUGCGAAAGCGUGGGGAGCAAACAGGGAUUAGGAUACC
Molecule: ribosomal RNA, 455 nt
Filed under: uncultured bacterium
Lineage: Bacteria
Description: bacterial SSU rRNA
Rfam family: Bacterial small subunit ribosomal RNA
Source: RNAcentral